AUUGAUUAUGACGUACUUGUACUGAUUGAGAUUUUAACACGAAGUGAGUGGCGAACGGGUGAGUAACACGUGGGUAACCUGCCCAGAAGUAGGGGAUAACACCUGGAAACAGAUGCUAAUACCGUAUAACAGAGAAAACCGCAUGGUUUUCUUUUAAAAGAUGGCUCUGCUAUCACUUCUGGAUGGACCCGCGGCGUAUUAGCUAGUUGGUGAGGUAAAGGCUCACCAAGGCAGUGAUACGUAGCCGACCUGAGAGGGUAAUCGGCCACAUUGGGACUGAGACACGGCCCAGACUCCUACG
Molecule: ribosomal RNA, 301 nt
Filed under: Pediococcus pentosaceus
Lineage: Bacteria; Bacillati; Bacillota; Bacilli; Lactobacillales; Lactobacillaceae
Description: bacterial SSU rRNA
Rfam family: Bacterial small subunit ribosomal RNA
Source: RNAcentral